UCACCGGGUGUAAAUCAGCUUG
This 22-nucleotide microRNA is filed under the name Caenorhabditis elegans. Its description in RNAcentral is "cel-miR-39-3p". Its record names the gene cel-miR-39-3p. Lineage: Eukaryota; Metazoa; Nematoda; Chromadorea; Rhabditida; Rhabditidae. The record is from miRBase by way of RNAcentral.